UAGCUCAGUAGGUAGAGCGGGUCGUCCACUAACGAUAGGGUCGGCGGUUCGAUCCCCUUGAUCCCCA
Merluccius polli (Benguela hake) is the source of this 67-nucleotide non-coding RNA. The record is from the annotation of a GenBank genome assembly. Lineage: Eukaryota; Metazoa; Chordata; Actinopteri; Gadiformes; Merlucciidae.